CUAGGAAUAUUCCGCAAUGGACGAAAGUCUGACGGAGCGACGCCGCGUGGAUGAAGAAGGCCGCAAGGUUGUAAAAUCCUUUUGCUGGGGAAGAAUAAGCGCAGGAGGGAAUGCCUGCGUGAUGACAUGAACCGGCGAAUAAGCCCCGGCCAACUACGUGCCAGCAGCCGCUGUAACACGUAGGGGGCAAGCGUUGUUCGGAAUUACUGGGCGUAAAGGGCAUGUAGGCGGUUUAGUAAGCUUGGCGUGAAAGACCACAGCUCAACUGUGGGGUUGCGUUGAGAACUGCUGAACUUGAGUUACGGAGAGGGAGCUAGAAUUCCUGGUGUAGGGGUGGAAUCUGUAGAGAUCAGGAAGAAUACCGAUGGCGAAGGCAAGCUUCUGGUCGAUAACUGACGCUGAGGUGCGAAAGUGUGGGGAUCGAACA
This 427-nucleotide ribosomal RNA is filed under the name uncultured prokaryote. RNAcentral describes it as "bacterial SSU rRNA". It matches the Rfam family "Bacterial small subunit ribosomal RNA", at positions 355 to 774 of the family's 1533-position model. The record is from RNAcentral.